AUACGGAGGACGCGAGCGUUAUCCGGAUUCAUUGGGUUUAAAGGGUGCGCAGGCGGCCGUGCAAGUCAGCGGUGAAAGCCCGGGGCUCAACCCCGGAAGUGCCGUUGAUACUGCGUGGCUGGAAUGCGGUCGAGGCGGGCGGGACGGGGCGUGGAGCGGUGAAAAGCGUAGAUAUGCCACAGAACGCCGAUAGCGGAGGCAGCUCGCCAGGCCUGCAUGGACGCUCGGGCACGAAAGCGUGGGGAUCGAACAGGAUUAGAUACCCUGGUAGUCCACGCCGUAAACGAUGGGCGCUCGUCGUCGGCGGCAGACAGUCGGCGGCCAAGCGAAAGCGAUAAGCGCCCCACCUGGGGAGUACGGUCGCAAGGCUGAAACUCAAAUGAAUUGACGGGG
RNAcentral lists this ribosomal RNA (393 nucleotides) under uncultured bacterium. RNAcentral's name for it is "partial 16S ribosomal RNA". It matches the Rfam family "Bacterial small subunit ribosomal RNA", at positions 523 to 918 of the family's 1533-position model. The record is from RNAcentral.